UAUGUAAAAAAUGGCUUUAAGUUUCUCUUUACUAUUCCUAAUGGUCCUUUCCCCCGCACUCAUAAGUUCCAGUAAUACAAAGGAUUCCUGGAUAAUUCCUCGUUCUAACUCUAUCUCACAAACAGACAGAGAUUAUUUUAACAUAAUACAAACAGAAGAUGGAGUUUCACAGUAUUUUAUUCUUAAAGAGGUAAAAUUAUUUCAUAAC
Eurytemora carolleeae is the source of this 208-nucleotide long non-coding RNA. RefSeq lists it as uncharacterized. The record is from RefSeq and is a predicted model, not a curated record. The transcript is spliced from 3 exons. Lineage: Eukaryota; Metazoa; Arthropoda; Copepoda; Calanoida; Temoridae.